This 478-nucleotide ribosomal RNA is filed under the name uncultured bacterium. RNAcentral's name for it is "partial 16S ribosomal RNA". It matches the Rfam family "Bacterial small subunit ribosomal RNA", at positions 28 to 523 of the family's 1533-position model. The record is from RNAcentral.
AAUGAACGUUGGCGGCGUGGAUUAGGCAUGCAAGUCGAGCGCUCACCCGCAAGGGUGGGAGCGGCGAAAGGGAGAGUAACGCGUGGGUAUCUGCCCUCGGGACUGGGAUAGCUGCGGGAAACCGCAGGUAAUACCAAAUGACGGCCGCGGACCAAAGGUGUGAUUCCGGCUGAGGAUGUGCCCGCGUCCUAUUAGCAUGUUGGUGGGGUAAUGGCCUACCAAGGCAAUGAUGGGUACUGGGUGUGAGAGCACGACCCAGCUCACUGGGACUGAGACACUGCCCAGACACCUACGGGUGGCUGCAGUCGAGAAUCUUCGGCAAUGGGCGAAAGCCUGACCGAGCGACGCCGCGUGUGGGAUGAAGGCCUUCGGGUUGUAAACCGCUGUCAGAGGGGAGGAAUGGGCGGAGGGUAAUCUCUUCGUUUUGACCUAUCCUCAGAGGAAGUACGGGCUAAGUUCGUGCCAGCCGCCGCGGUAA